RNAcentral lists this ribosomal RNA (441 nucleotides) under uncultured bacterium. Its description in RNAcentral is "partial 16S ribosomal RNA". It matches the Rfam family "Bacterial small subunit ribosomal RNA", at positions 338 to 795 of the family's 1533-position model. The record is from RNAcentral.
CCUACGGGAGGCAGCAGUGGGGGAUAUUGCACAAUGGGGGGAACCCUGAUGCAGCGACGCCGCGUGGGUGAAGGAGUGCUUCGGCAUGUAAAGCCCUAUCGGCAGGGAAGAAGCAAGACGGUACCUGACUAAGAAGCCCCGGCUAACUACGUUCCAGCAGCCGCGGUAAUACGUAGGGGGCGAGCGUUAUCCGGAUUCACUGGGUGGAAAGGGAGCGUAGACGGGCAUGCAAGCCAGGGGUGAAAGCCCGGGGCCCAACCCCGGGACUGCCCUUGGAACUGCAUGGCUGGAGUGCGGGAGGGGCAGGCGGAAGUCCUGGUGUAGCGGUGAAAUGCGUAGAUAUCAGGAGGAACACCGGCGGCGAAGGCGGCCUGCUGGACCGCGACUGACGUUGAGGCUCGAAAGCGUGGGGAGCGAACAGGAUUAGAUACCCGAGUAGUC